Molecule: ribosomal RNA, 453 nt
Filed under: uncultured bacterium
Lineage: Bacteria
Description: bacterial SSU rRNA
Rfam family: Bacterial small subunit ribosomal RNA
Source: RNAcentral
UACGGAAGGCAGCAGUGGGGAAUAUUGCACAAUGGGCGCAAGCCUGAUGCAGCCAUGCCGCGUGUAUGAAGAAGGCCUUCGGGUUGUAAAGUACUUUCAGUCGUGAGGAAGGUGUUAAGGUUAAUAACCUUAGCAAUUGACGUUAGCGACAGAAGAAGCACCGGCUAACUCCGUGCCAGCAGCCGCGGUAAUACGGAGGGUGCGAGCGUUAAUCGGAAUUACUGGGCGUAAAAGGGCACGCAGGCGGUUAAUUAAGUUGGAUGUGAAAUCCCCGGGCUUAACCUGGGAAUGGCAUUCAAGACUGGUUAGCUAGAGUCUUGUAGAGGGGGUAGAAUUCCAUGUGUAGCGGUGAAAUGCGUAGAGAUGUGAAGGAAUACCGGUGGCGAAGGCGGCCCCUGGACAAAGACUGACGCUCAUGUGCGAAAGCGUGGGGAGCAAACAGGAUUAGAUACC